This 467-nucleotide ribosomal RNA is filed under the name uncultured bacterium. Its description in RNAcentral is "bacterial SSU rRNA". It matches the Rfam family "Bacterial small subunit ribosomal RNA", at positions 331 to 795 of the family's 1533-position model. The record is from RNAcentral.
CCAGACUCCUACGGGAGGCAGCAGUGAGGAAUAUUGGUCAAUGGACGCGAGCCUGAACCAGCCAAGUCGCGUGAGGGAUGACGGCCCUACGGGUUGUAAACCUCUUUUGUCGGGGAGCAAAUUCCGUUACGUGUAACGGAGUCGAGAGUACCCGAAGAAAAAGCAUCGGCUAACUCCGUGCCAGCAGCCGCGGUAAUACGGAGGAUGCGAGCGUUAUCCGGAUUUAUUGGGUUUAAAGGGUGCGUAGGCGGGCUGUUAAGUCAGCGGUCAAAUGUCGGGGCUCAACCCCGGCCUGCCGUUGAAACUGGCGGCCUCGAGUGGGCGAGAAGUAUGCGGAAUGCGUGGUGUAGCGGUGAAAUGCAUAGAUAUCACGCAGAACUCCGAUUGCGAAGGCAGCAUACCGGCGCCCGACUGACGCUGAGGCACGAAAGCGUGGGUAUCGAACAGGAUUAGAUACCCCCGUAUAC